UGUUCUAGCUAAGUCCAGGCUUUGUAAGUUCGCACGGAAGUCCGGACUUAGCGAAAACGCA
This 61-nucleotide microRNA precursor is filed under the name Oreochromis niloticus (Nile tilapia). Its description in RNAcentral is "microRNA oni-mir-10716 precursor". The record is from miRBase by way of RNAcentral. Lineage: Eukaryota; Metazoa; Chordata; Actinopteri; Cichliformes; Cichlidae.